Molecule: ribosomal RNA, 324 nt
Filed under: uncultured eukaryote
Lineage: Eukaryota
Description: partial 18S ribosomal RNA
Rfam family: Eukaryotic small subunit ribosomal RNA
Source: RNAcentral
CCCUUAGAUGCUCUGGGCCGCACGCGCGCUACACUGGUCGAUGCAACGAGUUUCUUUCCUUGGCCGACAGACCUGGGCAAUCUUUGAACAUCGAUCGUGAUCGGGAUAGAUUCUUGUAAUUUUUGAUCUUAAACGAGGAAUUCCUAGUAAACGCAAGUCAUCAGCUUGCAUUGAUUACGUCCCUGCCCUUUGUACACACCGCCCGUCGCACCUACCGAUUGAAUGGUCCGGUGAAAUCUCCGGACUGGCGUGAGUCGGAGCAAUCUGACAAACACCGGAAAGUUGAUUAAACCUUACCAUUUAGAGGAAGGUGAAGUCGUAACA